This 864-nucleotide long non-coding RNA is filed under the name Triticum aestivum (bread wheat). RNAcentral's name for it is "long non-coding RNA (TAES_LNC007713)". The record is from RNAcentral. Lineage: Eukaryota; Viridiplantae; Streptophyta; Magnoliopsida; Poales; Poaceae.
UGGCUGUGAAGAAAUUGCCGUAUAUUAGCAAAUGUACUGGUAUGCACUUUGCAGCCUCCUUGACUUGCUUCCAGAGGAAAGCACAGCUUUGGUGGAGAUUUGUUUUGUUAAGAACAACCUGCUUCUCAUUUUGCAUUGAUUCUCUGAAUGAAGCCUGCUCAUGGUUUUGCAGACUGUGGAUACUUUCUUCUGUGACAAUUCCUACGGAGUAGUGGGGGUGAAGCGACGGUGUCAGGAGGCCACUGAACCAAGAGUUUAUUUAUAGCUGAAGAGAAGUAGGAUCCUGUCAAGUGCCUUCCAUGACUGGGCGAGGGGACAAUACCAUGAGUUCAGAACAUGCAAUUUGCAAGCAGAUCAAAGGCAACGUGAUGGGGAUCAGAUAUUGAUAUGGCGCCAAUUGUUUGGUCCAUGCUGGGUGCAUCACAAGGCACUACCAGUGCCACAUUGGUGGAUUAGUAGCAUGAGGAUCCCAUGCAAACUGGGUUCAACAUGUGAGGACCAGUUCUGUUGCUAUCGUGCAAUGAGAUGUUGGCAGACACGCCUUCUGAUUGCCACUGGGAAAGCUAGCCAGAAUGGUUCAGACGUUCGGUGUUCAAUGGUCUUAUUUUAGCAGGUGAUAAGCUGACUUGAUUGGGUUUGUGAUUGUGCUUAAUGUGUGUUCUUAAUUUUUAUUAUUAAGGUUGAAAAGAGACUGAGUUAGUUGAUGUAAGGAACACAACUUGAUGAACAAUGUUGUAUCUUAGUUCUGUUGAUGAGCAUUGCAUGUGGCAUCCAUUUCUUAGUGCGUUGACCAGCUGCAAACCAUGGUUUGUGAAUUUAGCUGCUAACUGAAGGUACGAAUAAUAGACAUGUACUUAAUGCAGU